AUUCUCUUAAGAUGAAAUGCACUGGGCUCAGAAAAUCUGUGGCGACAGUCGUGCAACUCUGCCUCUGACAGGGCAGACUGAGGAGAAA
Small nucleolar RNA from Betta splendens (Siamese fighting fish), 88 nucleotides. The record is from Ensembl. Lineage: Eukaryota; Metazoa; Chordata; Actinopteri; Anabantiformes; Osphronemidae.